RNAcentral lists this ribosomal RNA (1586 nucleotides) under Lactiplantibacillus plantarum. Its description in RNAcentral is "Lactobacillus plantarum 16S ribosomal RNA". It matches the Rfam family "Bacterial small subunit ribosomal RNA". The record is from RNAcentral. Lineage: Bacteria; Bacillati; Bacillota; Bacilli; Lactobacillales; Lactobacillaceae.
UUAAUUUGAGAGUUUGAUCCUGGCUCAGGACGAACGCUGGCGGCGUGCCUAAUACAUGCAAGUCGAACGAACUCUGGUAUUGAUUGGUGCUUGCAUCAUGAUUUACAUUUGAGUGAGUGGCGAACUGGUGAGUAACACGUGGGAAACCUGCCCAGAAGCGGGGGAUAACACCUGGAAACAGAUGCUAAUACCGCAUAACAACUUGGACCGCAUGGUCCGAGCUUGAAAGAUGGCUUCGGCUAUCACUUUUGGAUGGUCCCGCGGCGUAUUAGCUAGAUGGUGGGGUAACGGCUCACCAUGGCAAUGAUACGUAGCCGACCUGAGAGGGUAAUCGGCCACAUUGGGACUGAGACACGGCCCAAACUCCUACGGGAGGCAGCAGUAGGGAAUCUUCCACAAUGGACGAAAGUCUGAUGGAGCAACGCCGCGUGAGUGAAGAAGGGUUUCGGCUCGUAAAACUCUGUUGUUAAAGAAGAACAUAUCUGAGAGUAACUGUUCAGGUAUUGACGGUAUUUAACCAGAAAGCCACGGCUAACUACGUGCCAGCAGCCGCGGUAAUACGUAGGUGGCAAGCGUUGUCCGGAUUUAUUGGGCGUAAAGCGAGCGCAGGCGGUUUUUUAAGUCUGAUGUGAAAGCCUUCGGCUCAACCGAAGAAGUGCAUCGGAAACUGGGAAACUUGAGUGCAGAAGAGGACAGUGGAACUCCAUGUGUAGCGGUGAAAUGCGUAGAUAUAUGGAAGAACACCAGUGGCGAAGGCGGCUGUCUGGUCUGUAACUGACGCUGAGGCUCGAAAGUAUGGGUAGCAAACAGGAUUAGAUACCCUGGUAGUCCAUACCGUAAACGAUGAAUGCUAAGUGUUGGAGGGUUUCCGCCCUUCAGUGCUGCAGCUAACGCAUUAAGCAUUCCGCCUGGGGAGUACGGCCGCAAGGCUGAAACUCAAAGGAAUUGACGGGGGCCCGCACAAGCGGUGGAGCAUGUGGUUUAAUUCGAAGCUACGCGAAGAACCUUACCAGGUCUUGACAUACUAUGCAAAUCUAAGAGAUUAGACGUUCCCUUCGGGGACAUGGAUACAGGUGGUGCAUGGUUGUCGUCAGCUCGUGUCGUGAGAUGUUGGGUUAAGUCCCGCAACGAGCGCAACCCUUAUUAUCAGUUGCCAGCAUUAAGUUGGGCACUCUGGUGAGACUGCCGGUGACAAACCGGAGGAAGGUGGGGAUGACGUCAAAUCAUCAUGCCCCUUAUGACCUGGGCUACACACGUGCUACAAUGGAUGGUACAACGAGUUGCGAACUCGCGAGAGUAAGCUAAUCUCUUAAAGCCAUUCUCAGUUCGGAUUGUAGGCUGCAACUCGCCUACAUGAAGUCGGAAUCGCUAGUAAUCGCGGAUCAGCAUGCCGCGGUGAAUACGUUCCCGGGCCUUGUACACACCGCCCGUCACACCAUGAGAGUUUGUAACACCCAAAGUCGGUGGGGUAACCUUUUAGGAACCAGCCGCCUAAGGUGGGACAGAUGAUUAGGGUGAAGUCGUAACAAGGUAGCCGUAGGAGAACCUGCGGCUGGAUCACCUCCUUUCUAAGGAAUAUUACGGAA